CCUACGGGGGGCAGCAGUGGGGAAUAUUGGACAAUGGGCGAAAGCCUGAUCCAGCCAUGCCGUGUGUGUGAAGAAGGCCUUCGGGUUGUAAAGCACUUUCAGUGGGGAAGAAAGCCUUGGGGCUAAUACCCUCGAGGAAGGACAUCACCCACAGAAGAAGCACCGGCUAACUCCGUGCCAGCAGCCGCGGUAAUACGGAGGGUGCGAGCGUUAAUCGGAAUUACUGGGCGUAAAGCGCGCGUAGGCGGUCUGAUAAGCCGGUUGUGAAAGCCCCGGGCUCAACCUGGGAACGGCAUCCGGAACUGUCAGGCUAGAGUGCAGGAGAGGAAGGUAGAAUUCCCGGUGUAGCGGUGAAAUGCGUAGAGAUCGGGAGGAAUACCAGUGGCGAAGGCGGCCUUCUGGACUGACACUGACGCUGAGGUGCGAAAGCGUGGGUAGCAAACAGGAUUAGAUACCCCUGUAGUC
RNAcentral lists this ribosomal RNA (465 nucleotides) under Vreelandella stevensii. Its description in RNAcentral is "partial 16S ribosomal RNA". It matches the Rfam family "Bacterial small subunit ribosomal RNA", at positions 338 to 795 of the family's 1533-position model. Lineage: Bacteria; Pseudomonadati; Pseudomonadota; Gammaproteobacteria; Oceanospirillales; Halomonadaceae. The record is from RNAcentral.